CCACUGCUGAAGAGUCCCGCAAUAGAACAAAACGGCCGUCCAGUGC
This 46-nucleotide non-coding RNA is filed under the name Schistosoma curassoni. The record is from RNAcentral. Lineage: Eukaryota; Metazoa; Platyhelminthes; Trematoda; Strigeidida; Schistosomatidae.